Molecule: long non-coding RNA, 127 nt
Organism: Ixodes scapularis (black-legged tick)
Lineage: Eukaryota; Metazoa; Arthropoda; Arachnida; Ixodida; Ixodidae
Exons: 3
Source: RefSeq, a predicted model, not a curated record
CUCUAUACAGGAGCAGGACACCUCACUCAAGCAUCCGGCCUGCAGGUGCCAAUGAUGUCCCUCUAGCGGCGGCAACACUGUGGCAGCAACACCACGAUGCACCUGUAACCCCUAUGAACAUGUCUCA